Molecule: ribosomal RNA, 253 nt
Filed under: uncultured bacterium
Lineage: Bacteria
Description: partial 16S ribosomal RNA
Rfam family: Bacterial small subunit ribosomal RNA
Source: RNAcentral
UACAGAGGUCCCAAGCGUUGUUCGGAUUCACUGGGCGUAAAGGGUGCGCAGGUGGUGAGGCAAGUUCGGUGUGAAAGCUCCAGGCUCAACCUGGAAAUGGCACUGAAAACUGCUUUGCUUGAGGUUUGGAGGGGGGACUGGAAUUCUCGGUGGAGCAGUGAAAUGCGUAGAUAUCGAGAGGAACACCAGCGGCGAAGGCGGCGCUCUGGGCCGGUACUGACGCUGAGGAGCGAAAGCGUGGGGAGCGAACAGG